This 125-nucleotide small RNA is filed under the name Marmota monax (woodchuck). Lineage: Eukaryota; Metazoa; Chordata; Mammalia; Rodentia; Sciuridae. The record is from RNAcentral.
GCCAGGCACGGUGGUGCAUGCCUGUAAUCCCAGAGGCUUGGGAGGCUGAGACAGGUGGAUCACAAGUUCAAAGCCAGCCUCAGCAAUGGCGAGGUGCUAAGCAACUCAGUGGGACCCUGUCUCUA